CGGCAACAGCUCAAAUUUGAAAUCUGGCUCCUUUGGGGCCCGAGUUGUAAUUUGUAGAGGAUGCUUCGGCGUCGGCGCCGCCCAAAGUUCCUUGGAACGGGACGUCAUAGAGGGUGAGAGCCCCGUCUGGUUGGAUACCGAUCCUCUGUAAAGCUCCUUCGAC
RNAcentral lists this ribosomal RNA (163 nucleotides) under Magnaporthaceae sp. RNAcentral describes it as "partial large subunit ribosomal RNA". It matches the Rfam family "Eukaryotic large subunit ribosomal RNA", at positions 99 to 261 of the family's 3401-position model. Lineage: Eukaryota; Fungi; Ascomycota; Sordariomycetes; Magnaporthales; Magnaporthaceae. The record is from RNAcentral.